RNAcentral lists this ribosomal RNA (476 nucleotides) under uncultured bacterium. RNAcentral's name for it is "partial 16S ribosomal RNA". It matches the Rfam family "Bacterial small subunit ribosomal RNA", at positions 28 to 523 of the family's 1533-position model. The record is from RNAcentral.
GAUGAACGCUGGCGGCGUGCUUAACACAUGCAAGUCGAGCGAGUGAGUUCUUCGGAACGAUCUAGCGGCGGACGGGUGAGUAACACGUGGGCAACCUGCCUCAUAGAGGGGAAUAGCCCCCCGAAAGGGAGAUUAAUACCGCAUAAAAUUAUCGAGUGGCAUCACACGAUAAUCAAAGGAGUAAUCCGCUAUGAGAUGGGCCCGCGGCGCAUUAGCUAGUUGGUGAGGUAACGGCUCGCCAAGGCGACGAUGCGUAGCCGACCCGAGAGGGUGAUCGGCCACAUUGGGACUGGGACACGGCCCAGACUCCUACGGGAGGCAGCAGUGGGGAAUAUUGCACAAUGGGGGAAACCCUGAUGCAGCAACGCCGCGUGAGUGAUGAAGGUCUUCGGAUUGUAAAGCUCUGUCUUUGGGGACGAUAAUGACGGUACCCAAGGAGGAAGCCACGGCUAACUACGUGCCAGCCGCCGCAGUAA